RNAcentral lists this transfer RNA (72 nucleotides) under Candidatus Aenigmatarchaeota archaeon. Its description in RNAcentral is "tRNA-Trp". It matches the Rfam family "tRNA". From Rfam's summary of the family: Transfer RNA (tRNA) molecules are approximately 80 nucleotides in length. Their secondary structure includes four short double-helical elements and three loops (D, anti-codon, and T loops). The record is from RNAcentral. Lineage: Archaea; Nanobdellati; Candidatus Aenigmatarchaeota.
GGGGACGUGAGGUAGUGGCUAUCCUGGCCGCCUCCAGAGCGGCUCACCUGGGUUCGAGUCCCAGCGUCCCCA